CCUACGGGAGGCAGCAGUGAGGAAUAUUGGUCAAUGGGCGGGAGCCUGAACCAGCCAAGCAGCGUGAGGGAAGAAGGUACAACGUAUCGUAAACCUCUUUUGUCAGGGAACAAAGGCGGGGACUAGUGCCCGGAUGAGGGUACCUGAAGAAAAAGCAUCGGCAAACUCCGUGCCAGCAGCCGCGGUAAUACGGAGGAUGCGAGCGUUAUCCGGAUUUAUUGGGUUUAAGGGGUGCGCAGGGGGCAUGUUAAGUCAGCGGGAAAAGCCCGGGGCUCAACCCCGGCGAGCCGUUGAAACUGGCGGGCUGGAGUUGGAGAGAAGUACGCGGAAUGCGCGGUGUAGCGGUGAAAUGCUUAGAUAUCGCGCAGAACCCCGAUUGCGAAGGCAGCGUACCGGCUCCACACUGACGCUGAGGCACGAAAGCGUGGGUAUCGAACAGGAUUAGAUACCCCUGUAGUC
This 459-nucleotide ribosomal RNA is filed under the name uncultured bacterium. RNAcentral's name for it is "partial 16S ribosomal RNA". It matches the Rfam family "Bacterial small subunit ribosomal RNA", at positions 338 to 795 of the family's 1533-position model. The record is from RNAcentral.